Molecule: ribosomal RNA, 200 nt
Filed under: uncultured Bacillus sp.
Lineage: Bacteria; Bacillati; Bacillota; Bacilli; Caryophanales; Bacillaceae
Description: partial 16S ribosomal RNA
Rfam family: Bacterial small subunit ribosomal RNA
Source: RNAcentral
UACUCCUACGGGAGGCAGCAGUAGGGAAUCUUCCGCAAUGGACGAAAGUCUGACGGAGCAACGCCGCGUGAGUGAUGAAGGUUUUCGGAUCGUAAAGCUCUGUUGUUAGGGAAGAACAAGUACCGUUCGAAUAGGGCGGUACCUUGACGGUACCUAACCAGAAAGCCACGGCUAACUACGUGCCAGCAGCCGCGGUAAUA